This is a long non-coding RNA of Olea europaea var. sylvestris, 2262 nucleotides long. RefSeq lists it as uncharacterized. The transcript has 2 exons. The record is from RefSeq and is a predicted model, not a curated record. NCBI's taxonomy places the organism in Eukaryota, Viridiplantae, Streptophyta, Magnoliopsida, Lamiales, Oleaceae.
UUUUUUCUUUUUUUUCUUUUUUUCCUUUGGGCAGGUCUAUUGUUUAUGGGGGAGACGGAAGAGGAUUUGAGUUUCAAUGGGGUAUCUGUAGGAGGAGCAAUGGAGGAUGAUGAUUUACGUGAUCUAAAUAAGGAACCCAUUGAGGAAAAAAGAAAAAGGGUUGAGAAUAAUUCAACUGGUAAUGAAAAAGAGGGGUCUUUUGGGGGUUAAAUCGUGUCACGGUAAGGGUGGGGAGGGUUUUGAGGUCAAUGACAAUGGCUUUGAACAAUGCUGAAAAGCAAGUCAUAGAGACGUAAGUAGUUGUGAAGGAAGUAGUGGAUUUAAUAGAUGAGCCAGGUGUCGCUAUAAGAAAAAAAUUGAAGGGUCGAUUGGGGAGACCCCCAAAAGUGAAAGUUGAUUAUGGGGUUUGUGGUUUGAAAAUUAAAGAGAAAAAUGAUGAGGUAAUGGAAAGGAAGUUUAUAGGGGAGAGUCAUAAAGGGACUGGCCGAUGUAGGAAAAAUGUAAAGGGUUAGCGUGGAAGACCAUCCAAGAUUGAUAAGAUCUCAGGGGCCAUUGGUAAGAAGAAAAAGACAAAGGGUAGAUGGGGAAGACCACCCAAAAUGGAGAAUGGGAUUUCAGAGAUCCUUAUUAAGGAGAAAAAGACUAAGCGUCGUGGAAGACCACCAAAGAUGGAAAAUGGGAUUUUUAAGGUUGCUUAUAAGGAUAAAAAGAAUAAGGCUAGCCUUGGAAGACCUCCCAAGAUAGAUAAAAGCAUUGCUGGUGGUACUAAUGUGAAGGGAAGGUUGGAACUGAUGGUGGAGAAAAGAGAUUAAAACGCUAUCCCAAUUAUUUGGGAAGUAAUGUUAAGCAUGGUGAAUCAGAUAAAAUCGAGAGUGGAGAAGGAAAGCAAAUGGGACGUAGGGAACAACAGCAGUUAGUGAGGGAUCAAAUAGUUGCUCUGCUGAAGAAAGCAGGUAGGACUAUUGAGUACAUGCCAUGACAAUCAAAAGAUUACAACGAUCAAGUAUAUGUUGGCCGUGAUGGAAGAGCUUACCGGUCCUGCACCCUGGCUUACAUGGUGCUCAAAAAGAAGAUUGAAGAUAGAAAAGCAGAUGAUAAGAAAUGUUAUGUAUUUUUCCAAUACCUGAGGAGUUACUCAGCACACUAUUCAGAAUAAGGAAGGAUGAAGGAAAGAAGAAAGGGAAAUGUACUGGAAAGAUCGGUAAAGGUAUUGCUAAGAAGGCUUUAUCUAAGAUUAAGACAUUAGGAAAAAGAAUCAAGUCAAUUUAAGCAAGGAUAGAAGAAGGACACUGUUAGCCCGUGAACCAGGGGAGGGAUCAGAUGACUAUGAACUAUAUGACGGGAAGCGCACUUUGCUUUCGUGGAUGAUUGAUUUGGGAACUGUUCCUCCAGAUGGCAAGGUGAAGUAUAAGAGAAGCAGGAAUAAAAAAGGUGAUGCUCGAGGCAAAGAUUACAAGAAAGGGAAUUUGCUGUAGUUGUUGUGAUAAAGUACACACAAUACGUGACUUUGAAUCUCAUGCGAAAAGUGAACCUCAAAAAUCAUAUAAAUGCAUAUAUUUAGAGUCCAGAAAUUCUCUUUUACAAUGCCUCAUAGACUCGUGGAAUAAACAAUUGGCAACUGAACGCAUUGAAUUUACUUUUUGUGGACGUGGAUGUCGAUGAUCCUAAUGAUGAUACGUGCAACAUCUGUGGGGAUGGUGGUAACUUGAUCUGUUGUGAUGGUUGCCCAUCGACAUUUCAUCAUGGCUGCUUGUGUAUUAAAAAGGUCCCAUAUGGAGAUUGGUACUGUGCUUAUUGUUCCUGCAAAUACUAUAGAGUGUCUGGUGGAAAUGCCUAUACAACUGAUGACAAUAGCAAUUCAAUUGUCUCUGAAUUGUUAAUGUGCCGUUUGUGUGAGGAAAAAUUUAUUGAUCAAUUGCUUCAUUGUUUCUCAAUUCCUCAUAUGCUCCCCCGCUCAAUUUUUUUCCUAUCACAUGUCACGGGUGGCCUUGUACUAAUUAUAUGAAAUCCUUGUGUGUUGAAGACCAUGUUCCUUGUAUUGAAGGUAGUGAUGAUAUAAUUUUGAACAACAACAAUCCAUCCUUUUAUGGGAGGGAAUGUCAAAAGGUAUAACUAAUGUAUCCAUCUUUAACGACAUUUGGUUCGGCUUUUACUUUUCUUAAUUCGUGGAACUACGGUUUAUCCUAUCAUUCUUUCGUGGGUGGGAAUGUCAAGAUGUUUAUAUAAUGCAAAUGCAUCCAUCUUUGAUGGCAUUUUGAUCAA